AGAGUUUGAUCCUGGCUCAGGAUGAACGCUAGCGGCGGGCCUAAUACAUGCAAGUCGAACGGGAUUGUUGGUAGCAAUACUGACAUGAGAGUGGCGCACGGGUGCGUAACACGUAUGUAACCUGCCUUUAACUGGGGCAUAGCUUCGAGAAAUCGAAAUUAAUACCCCAUAAUGUAAAGAAGAGGCAUCUCUUUUUUACCAAAGCUCCGGCGGUUAAAGAUGGACAUGCGGUGCAUUAGCUUGUUGGUGAGGUAAUGGCUCACCAAGGCUUCGAUGCAUAGGGGGUCUGAGAGGAUGAUCCCCCACACUGGUACUGAGACACGGACCAGACUCCUACGGGAGGCAGCAGUAGGGAAUAUUGGGCAAUGGACGCAAGUCUGACCCAGCCACGCCGCGUGAAGGAUGACGGCCCUAUGGGUUGUAAACUUCUUUUGUAUGGGAAGAAACCCCUCUACGUGUAGAGGGCUGACGGUACCAUAAGAAUAAGCAUCGGCUAACUCCGUGCCAGCAGCCGCGGUAAUACGGAGGAUGCAAGCGUUGUCCGGAUUCAUUGGGUUUAAAGGGUGCGUAGGCGGAGAAUUAAGUCAGUGGUGAAAGCUUGCAGC
This 605-nucleotide ribosomal RNA is filed under the name uncultured bacterium. RNAcentral describes it as "bacterial SSU rRNA". It matches the Rfam family "Bacterial small subunit ribosomal RNA", at positions 8 to 608 of the family's 1533-position model. The record is from RNAcentral.